Phascolarctos cinereus (koala) is the source of this 973-nucleotide long non-coding RNA. RefSeq lists it as uncharacterized. The record is from RefSeq and is a predicted model, not a curated record. Lineage: Eukaryota; Metazoa; Chordata; Mammalia; Diprotodontia; Phascolarctidae.
CUACGCUCUUCUCUCCCGCCCCUACUUUGCAGCUCCUCGCUUUUCGUGGGAGAAAAAAACCGCCUCAUCAAAAAAGAAGUUUAAAACAAACAAUAUUUCAUCUGGAGGUUGAUGUAGAAGGCUUGCUUGGCUCCAGGAAGACUUUGGGGAAAUGCAUCAUGAAAGGAAGAGUCGAUUCUGCAAACUUCACUGUUGUCUUAUUUUAAGAAACUGCCACAGCCACCCCAACCUUCAGCAAUCACCACCCUGAUCAGUCAGCAGCCAUCAUCAUUAAGGAAAGACACUACACCAGCAAAAAGAGUAUGACUCAGGAUGGUCCUCCAUGUCUGGAAUGCAUGCUGUCUUUCCUUGCCUCUGUAUCCUGGCUUCCUUCAAGUCCCGGGUAAAACUCCUGCAAGAAAUGCAGUGUGAAUUUGAAAAAUAUGGCAAUUUUUGCAAGAAACCUUUCCCAGUUCCCCAUAAUGUUAAUGCUUUUCUUCUGAGAUUAUCUCCAAUUUAUCUUGUUCACAUAGUUGUUUGCAUGUUGUCUCCUCCAGUAGACUGUGAAUGUCCUGAAAGCAGGGAGUAUUUUUGCUUUUCUUUGUAUCCUAAAUACUUAGUCCAUUGACUGGUAUAUAGUUAGCACUUAAAUUCGUGUUGACUUUUUGGGAUCUUUCUUAAUGUCUCUAGGCCUUAUAUUUAAGACAAAGGAUUGGAUUACAUGACUUGCAAGGUCCCUUCCAACCAGUAGUAUACUCUUAAAUGUUUAAAAAUUGACUCUCCAAAAAUUGUAUGUAUGAUAUGCUUUUAUGUUUAAUCUGAAUUAUUAACAUUUUUCUUCCCACUUCCUUAAGGAUAGAUUAUUAGCAAAAUAAUAAACUAGCUUUGGAGCCUGUUUGAGCUGACUCCAGAACACUACUGCUUCCAACUCUAAGAGUCUAUGAGCGUGUAUAAUGGAAAUGGAACUAGAUUUGUAGAUUGAAAAGAAGCCAAA